GGCUGAAAUUCGCCUUCAUGAAGCCGGAAUUGCUAGUAAUGGCAGGUCAGCAUACUGCCGUGAAUACGUUCCCGGGCCUUGUACACACCGCCCGUCACACCAUGAGAGUUGGGAAUACCCGAAGCCUGUGAGCUAACUAAUGGAGGCAGCAGUCGAAGGUAGAAUCAAUGAUUGGGGUGAAGUCGUAACAAGGUACC
Molecule: ribosomal RNA, 197 nt
Filed under: uncultured bacterium
Lineage: Bacteria
Description: partial 16S ribosomal RNA
Rfam family: Bacterial small subunit ribosomal RNA
Source: RNAcentral